UACGCAGGGGGCUAGCGUUGCUCGGAAUGACUGGGCGUAAAGGGCGCGUAGGCGGCUUACAUAGUUAGGCGUGAAAUUCCUGGGCUCAACCUGGGGACUGCGUCUAAUACAUGUAGGCUUGAGUGUGAAAGAGGGUCGUGGAAUUUCCAGUGUAGAGGUGAAAUUCGUAGAUAUUGGAAAGACCACCGGUGGCGAAGGUGGCGACCUGGUUCAUUACUGACGCUGCGGCGCGAAAGCGUGGGGAGCAAAAAGG
Molecule: ribosomal RNA, 253 nt
Filed under: uncultured bacterium
Lineage: Bacteria
Description: partial 16S ribosomal RNA
Rfam family: Bacterial small subunit ribosomal RNA
Source: RNAcentral